AAUAAUUACGUCAUUUUAAUGACUGCGUAUCCCCGUAUCCCCGUAUCAUUGAAAAAUAAUAGUUACCCAUUCUCCUUUUAAACUACUCAAAUAAUACGUCAUUUUAAUGACUGCGUAUCCCCGUAUCAUUGAAAAAUAAUAGUCACCCAUUCUCCUCUUAAACUACUCCAAUAAUUACGUCAUUGUAAUGACUGCGUAUCCCCGUAUCAUUGAAAAAUAAUAGUUACCAAUUCUUCUCUUAAACUACUCGAAUAAUUAUGUCAUUUUAAUGACUGCGUAUCCCCGUAUCCCCCAAAAGCAAACACUAUCAAAAUUCAAAAGUGGCUGGG
Molecule: non-coding RNA, 329 nt
Organism: Paramuricea clavata
Lineage: Eukaryota; Metazoa; Cnidaria; Anthozoa; Malacalcyonacea; Plexauridae
Source: the annotation of a GenBank genome assembly